CUAUUAAGCAAAUGCCAAUGUGUCAAAUAAAAAAAAAAUUCAACUUGAGAGAGCUAAAAAUUAAAUUAAAAUAUUUUAAUUUUGUGCCUACAAGACUUGACAUUUCAUACCAUAGUAAUAAUGGAAAAAGGAACUAUAAUGAAGAUCUAUCACCCUUAUUAGAAAGGUUCAACUUCGAAAUUGCUUAUUCCUGUUCACAAUUAAAAAGAAAAUAAAAUACAACAUAAUUGUACUCCAAAUACACAUUGCAAAUUGCCCUCAUCGACUACUACAAGUAAUAUGAGAUAUUGUAAAUACAGAAUCAGAAGAAAAGUACUUUAAACGAUAAAAGCAAAGAUAAAAGUGAAGAUAGAACAGAGUAGAGAGUUGAUCAACUUACAAGAAGGAGAGAAGUAUAUUUUGAAGUGGCUGAAUAAUCCUGUUGAAUAAUCCUUUCUUUUUAUUUUAGCUCUGCCGUUAUAAUUAUAAACACGGUAAGAAUCUCUACGUUGAAUCAUAUAUUGGAUUGAUUAUAUAAUUUUACUAAAAUAAUUGGGCUAAAGGGAAGAAAGUACUAACCUGUGGAAUCAGAUGAUCCUACUUCUCAUGAUAGUAAAUAACGGCCCCCUUUUUGAAUAUAACGAUAAUCAAUCCUGAUAUUUGGAAUGUGAGAGAUGUUGGGCCAAUCUGCAGCCAUA
This 677-nucleotide unclassified non-coding RNA is filed under the name Hevea brasiliensis (rubber tree). Lineage: Eukaryota; Viridiplantae; Streptophyta; Magnoliopsida; Malpighiales; Euphorbiaceae. The record is from RNAcentral.